GACGGACGCUGGCGGCGUGCUUAACACAUGCAAGUCGAACGAUGACGACCGAGCUUGCUCGGUCUGAUUAGUGGCGAACGGGUGAGUAACACGUGAGCAACCUGCCCUUCACUCUGGGAUAACCUCGGGAAAUCGGGGCUAAUACCGGAUAUGAGCUCCUGUCGCAUGGCGGGUGUUGGAAAGUUUUUCGGUGGAGGAUGGGCUCGCGGCCUAUCAGUUUGUUGGUGAGGUAGUGGCUCACCAAGGCGAUGACGGGUAGCCGGCCUGAGAGGGCGACCGGCCACACUGGGACUGAGACACGGCCCAGACUCCUACGGGAGGCAGCAGUGGGGAAUAUUGCACAAUGGGCGAAAGCCUGAUGCAGCGACGCCGCGUGAGGGAUGACGGCCUUCGGGUUGUAAACCUCUUUCAGCAGGGAAGAAGCGAAAGUGACGGUACCUGCAGAAGAAGCGCCGGCUAACUACGUG
RNAcentral lists this ribosomal RNA (467 nucleotides) under uncultured bacterium. RNAcentral describes it as "partial 16S ribosomal RNA". It matches the Rfam family "Bacterial small subunit ribosomal RNA", at positions 28 to 507 of the family's 1533-position model. The record is from RNAcentral.